Long non-coding RNA from Oncorhynchus nerka (sockeye salmon), 1848 nucleotides. RefSeq lists it as uncharacterized. The record is from RefSeq and is a predicted model, not a curated record. The transcript is spliced from 5 exons. NCBI's taxonomy places the organism in Eukaryota, Metazoa, Chordata, Actinopteri, Salmoniformes, Salmonidae.
AGGGGCCUGUUGCACAAAAGUAGAAUUAAGACAUCCGGGAUAAAUGACUCAGCUGAGCUCAAUGAAGCCAAAACAUGUGCGUCCAGGCUUAAUUGGUUGCACAAAGACCAAGCCAGGAUGAGCAGACACGGAUUCAUUAAGCCAGGUGAAACCAAUCCUGGAUAGGUGCGCGCUCACGGCUCACUCAAAUAGACCCCGCCACAGAUCACAGAUUAACUGAUUUACCAUGGCAACUAGAGCCGCGUACUUUUCCCCGUCGGAAGCACAAAUCCUCAUGGAGGCAUACGAGGAGGUAAAAUAUAUAAUUAAGAAGAAAGGCAACACCGCCACAGUGAUAAAGCAAAGAGAAAAAGUGUGGCAAAGUAUUGCAGACCGCCUGAAUGCGUAAGUAGUGCACAAUUACACACUCACCGCUCCGCUGAAACAUCACAAUUACAAUUCAAAUAUUUAAUUCACAUCUCCAAAAAUGCAGUUGUACUGUAAUUAUGAAACGGUUAAAUUUUUAAUUGAAAUGCACUGCAGAUAUGAGUGAAAUUGUGUAAAGUAACUCCAUCACACUGUAUAAAGCUAUGAUACAUUUUUUGAUAUUUUUACUGAAAACAAGACAAAAAUACCAAGUAAUUUUUUGCAGUGUGACUCCAUUAAAUGUGUGUGUGUGUGUGUGUGUGUGUGUGUGUGUGUAGAUUAAACAUGAACGGGCCAAAACGGACAUGGCAGCAGGUCAAAAUCAAAUACAAGAACAUUCUGCAGAAUGCAGUGAAAAAGAAUACCCACAGACAAGGCACGGGUGGUGGGUCACCAAAGGCUGACCUUACCCCAGCAGAGGACAUGGCCUUGGAGCUAAAUAAAGGCAGGCCCGUCUUAGAGGGGAUCCCUGGGGGGAAAGAGACGAGCAUAGGUUCCUCCCAAGAUGCCACCCGCUUCAUUCAAGUGCCUGGCAGCACUGUGUUCCUGUUAGAGCCACCAGCACAAGCACCAGACGAUGCUGAUCCAGGUGAAGGCCCCAGUGCAGCAGCAACAGCACAUGAUGGAGACGAUGAUGAGGAGGAGACCAUCUCUCUGGAUUCCAGAAGGCAUGAGGACCCAGAUGCUAUACAGUGGGAAAACCAGCCUGGCAACAUAGUGCGUAUUAAUAAAAGGACAUCACAUCCUGCCAAAUUCCAGCUGCGCUAAUUGUAUUGUGUUCACAGAGCUCACAAGCUAUCAGAAAGUUGUAUGGCAACCACCUUCCCAGCAAUCAGUACAACCAAGUCAUCGUUAUAAGGCAUCGCCCUCUUUUGCCCACCCCCCCAGCACCAGGUGUGGCCACUAGCCUAUAUGAAGGCCCAAAAUUGUGUGUUCCUUUCUGCUCUGACAAUGGCAUGCCCAUUCGUGCGAGAUGUGGUGGAUGAAGAAGCACUUGUGCUGAGGAGAGCCUUCAGGCGAGAAAGGGUCUUCAGGGACCGGUUGGACCCACUGGCCUUCCCUGAUGACCAUCUAUAUGAAAGAUACAGGUUUUCUGCAGAUGGCAUCAGGUAUCUAUGCAGACUACUGGGUCCCAGGAUUAAGCACCGCACUGCACGGAGCCAUGCACUGAGUGUGGAGCAAAUGGUUUGUGUGGCCUUGCGCUUUUUUGCUAGUGGAGCCUUCCUGUACUCAGUGGGGGAUGCAGAACAGCUGAACAAGGCCACAAUUUGCCGCACAAUAAGGAGUGUGUGUCUGGCUAUCAAAGCAUUAGCAGAUGUCUUCAUCUCCUUCCCUGGCCACAGAAGACUCUGUGACAUCAAAGAGGAGUUCUAUAGGAUUGCAGGUAAGAGGAUCUACAAAUUACAGGACAACUGUUAACACAUAGUAGGAUACUCAUUACUU